CGGGGUUCCACCUGGAAGCUGCUUGCAUGGCUGAACCCAGCUUAGGUCCCUGGCGGGGCUGCUGGUGGAAUUCUCCCCCUUCGAAGCUGGGGAGGUUUAGGAGGGGGAAGGCUUCUGUGAAGCUCUCAAACCACUAAUAGAGCCCCCUCCCCAACAGUGACGGCGCAGAUGCUCCCCCUUUUCUUAGUUGACACCACCAGGCAGCUUCCUGGCCGUUGGUAGGUUCCUGCAGCUGGCUGAGGGAACAGGGACCGGCAGGGGACUUUGUUAGGGGAGGGUUGGGGUGGGCAGUGGGCCCCUGAAAGUUAAUAUAUUGGAACCUAGCUCGAGUGUCGUUCUUUCCAAUUCCGAAAGUAGAAAGAGUAAAAAUAGGGGUGAUUGGGGUGGGGUUAGUAGAAUGCCUCUCUCAGGGCGCUCCCCCCUCCCCCACCGUUUUAGAGAGCUAGGCCUCAGCCAGUCUUGCCACUCCCAUCUCAGUACUUCCUGAAGAGGCUGUUUUGAGUGUUGAUGAAAAGCAAUGCAAUUAUGCCAAACAGUAUUGAGCAGAAUAAUUUAUUUCUUUUUUUUCUUUUGCUUUAAAUCAUGAAUCCCGCCAGGUACGGUGGCUCACACCUGUCAUCCCAGCACUUUGGGAGGCCAAGGCGGGCGGAUUACUUAAUACUUAAGGUCAGGAGUUCGACACCAGCCUGGCCAAUAUGGUGAAACCUCGUCUCUACCAAAAAAAAAAAAAAAAAAAAAAAACAAAAAUUAGGCAGGCGCAGUGGUGCGCACCUGUAAUCCCAGCUGCUUGGAAGGCUGAGGCAGGAGAAUCCCUUGAACCCAGGAGGCGAAGGUUGCAGUGAGCCGAGAUUGUGCCACUGCACUCCAGCCUGGGCGACAGAGCAAGACCCUGUCUCAAAAAAAUUAAAUCAUGAAUCCCCAUCCUGGAAGAGGAGGCACCUCAUUCCUGGACUCUGCGCUCCAAGACACUGAAAUCUGAGCGGGUACAAGCAUUUUGGUUAAAGAUCAGCUCGUUGUCGCCUCUUGAGUUUCCUCCAGGAGAGGAGUUCAUUGGAGAGGAUUCCUGGUAGCAGCUCCUCGCAG
RNAcentral lists this long non-coding RNA (1083 nucleotides) under Pan troglodytes (chimpanzee). RNAcentral describes it as "long non-coding RNA NONPTRT006381". The record is from RNAcentral. Lineage: Eukaryota; Metazoa; Chordata; Mammalia; Primates; Hominidae.